GGAAUUUUGGACAAUGGGCGAAAGCCUGAUCCAGCCAUGCCGCGUGCAGGAUGAAGGCCUUCGGGUUGUAAACUGCUUUUGUACGGAACGAAAAGACUCCUUCUAAUAAAGGGGGUCCAUGACGGUACCGUAAGAAUAAGCACCGGCUAACUACGUGCCAGCAGCCGCGGUAAUACGUAGGGUGCGAGCGUUAAUCGGAAUUACUGGGCGUAAAGCGUGCGCAGGCGGUUAUAUAAGACAGAUGUGAAAUCCCCGGGCUCAACCUGGGAACUGCAUUUGUGACUGUAUAGCUAGAGUACGGUAGAGGGGGAUGGAAUUCCGCGUGUAGCAGUGAAAUGCGUAGAUAUGCGGAGGAACACCGAUGGCGAAGGCAAUCCCCUGGACCUGUACUGACGCUCAUGCACGAAAGCGUGGGGAGCAAACAGGAUUAGAUACCCUGG
Molecule: ribosomal RNA, 440 nt
Filed under: uncultured Acidovorax sp.
Lineage: Bacteria; Pseudomonadati; Pseudomonadota; Betaproteobacteria; Burkholderiales; Comamonadaceae
Description: bacterial SSU rRNA
Rfam family: Bacterial small subunit ribosomal RNA
Source: RNAcentral